Molecule: long non-coding RNA, 608 nt
Organism: Melopsittacus undulatus (budgerigar)
Lineage: Eukaryota; Metazoa; Chordata; Aves; Psittaciformes; Psittaculidae
Exons: 3
Source: RefSeq, a predicted model, not a curated record
AGUGGGAAGAGGGGCGGGACAGAGCGAUGCUGCCUGAACUGACAGCAAAUUUAAAUUACUGAGCGUUCUUUUUCUUUUGUUGUGUUUUUUUUUUCCUUCUUUUCGUGCCCUUUCUUUUAUUUUUUUUCUUUUUUUCUUUUUCUUUUUCUUUUUUUUUGGUGUUUUUCUACUCUGCGACAAACUGAAAAGAUUCUCGCACACGCUAAUUUAGCAACCCUGCUUCGUCGUCUUCUUCCCCCCCCCCCCUUCUGCUUCCAGGAUAAUUAAAAGAGGAACCUGUAAAGGCAACAUUCCUUCAAGCAAGUUGGUGCUGCAACGUGCCGAUACUCAGCUCUUUUCAGCAGAAUAAGGAGUAGGUAAACAAAGAAGAAGAGAGCAGGUGUCAAAGGCAGGGAAUAACAGUGGGACUCCUUCAAGACAGGAAAAUACACUCUCAAGCAUGGAGAGAAAAAGAAAGAAUAAGUUGCUUUGUGCUGCCAAUGCCUAUAGUGGAGGGGCUGAACAACAUUCCCAGCAUCACUUCUGCCUCUUUCUCCAUGAACAUCAUUUUUUGCAUAUUAAAGAGAAAGUAAUACUUUGUCAUGCUGUAUUAAAGACAUUUAUCUCCU